This 253-nucleotide ribosomal RNA is filed under the name uncultured bacterium. RNAcentral's name for it is "partial 16S ribosomal RNA". It matches the Rfam family "Bacterial small subunit ribosomal RNA", at positions 524 to 776 of the family's 1533-position model. The record is from RNAcentral.
UACGUAGGGGGCAAGCGUUGUCCGGAAUGACUGGGCGUAAAGGGCGCGUAGACGGCUGUCUAAGUCUGGAGUGAAAGUCCUGCUUUCAAGGUGGGAAUUGCUUUGGAGACUGGAUGGCUUGAGUGCGGAAGAGGUAAGUGGAAUUCCCAGUGUAGCGGUGAAAUGCGUAGAGAUUGGGAAGAACACCAGUGGCGAAGGCGACUUACUGGGCCGUAACUGACGUUGAUGCGCGAAAGCGUGGGGAGCGAACAGG